RNAcentral lists this ribosomal RNA (684 nucleotides) under Hygrocybe rajendrae. RNAcentral describes it as "eukaryotic LSU rRNA". The stretch from base 239 to 392 matches the Rfam family "5.8S ribosomal RNA". Lineage: Eukaryota; Fungi; Basidiomycota; Agaricomycetes; Agaricales; Hygrophoraceae. The record is from RNAcentral.
GAACCUUCGGUAGGUGAACCUGCGGAAGGAUCAUUAAUGAAUAAAAUAAAACCUUUGAGGAUGUUGCUGGCCUUACCAGGCAGGUGCACUCCUCAUACGUUCUAUUUUGACCCACCUUCUCACAAACCAUGUGCACCCUUUGUAGGUUGGGCUUUGCUUCUGACCUAUGUAUGUUUUGUCAUUUUGCGCCUCUUAGAAAAGAUUUUUCGAAUGUUGUCUCGUAUAUUUGAUAAUGCACAACUUUCAACAAUGGAUCUCUUGGCUCUCGCAUCGAGAAGAACGCAGCGAAAUGCAAUACGUAAUGUGAAUUGCAGAAUUCCGUGAAUCAUCAAAUCUUUGAACGCACCUUGCGCCCCGAGGCUGUUCCGAGGGGCAUGCCUGUUUGAGUGUCAUUGGUCAAUCUUCUCAACUUUGGUGAAAAGGCCAAAGCUUGAACAGUGGAGGUGUGCUGGCUGGACGUGUCAGCUCCUCUGAAAACAAUUACCGAAAAGAACCACACCCUGUUCCUUGCAUCUCUGGCUUCUGGCAUUGAUGGUUGUCUAUGCCUGCUGCAACCCGGGGUGCAUUUAAAUUAGGAUCGGUGAGGCUCUCACUCACAAUUGUCUUUGGACUUUUGAACGCAUCACCUCAAAUCAGGUAGGACUACCCGCUGAACUUAAACAUAUCAAUAAUCGGAGGAACAAU